CACGUAGGGCGCGAGCGUUGUCCGGAAUUAUUGGGCGUAAAGGGCUCGUAGGCGGCCUGUUGCGUCCGCUGUGAAAGCCCGGGGCUUAACCCCGGGUCUGCAGUCGAUACGGGCGGACUCGAGUUCGGCAGGGGAGACUGGAAUUCCUGGUGUAGCGGUGAAAUGCGCAGAUAUCAGGAGGAACACCGGUGGCGGAGGCGGGUCUCUGGGCCGAUACUGACGCUGAGGAGCGAAAGCGUGGGGAGCGAACAGG
Molecule: ribosomal RNA, 253 nt
Filed under: uncultured bacterium
Lineage: Bacteria
Description: partial 16S ribosomal RNA
Rfam family: Bacterial small subunit ribosomal RNA
Source: RNAcentral